CUGGCAUGGCCGCCUCCGUCUUGCCUCUAGCAUCACAGGCUGGCUGUCUCCGCUCAUUCCUGGGCAUGGACGAAGCUAACCAUGAGAAGAAUUUAGUUUACAGUUUAAUUGUGAAGCAAGGAUAAUAAUAGUCGCUUCCUAAAACUGAUCCGCUCCUUGUUUGGAGACUGAAACAGUCUUUGUAAGACAAUGAAAGGUCACAAGAUUAGUAUUCUGAGAGGGGCCUGAAUUCUGCUAAAAUGUUGCUAACUUUGGAGGAAGCCAGCUGCCAUGUCACAAAAAGAUUCAGGAAGCCAUGUGGAGAGGCCCACAUCAUGAGGAACUGAGGUCUUUGCCAAUUACCAGCAAGGAAAUGAGGCCUCCUGCCAACAGCCACCAUUGUGGAUGAAUUAGGUUUUGUCAUGGGGAAAAACAUGAUCUGCAAAUUCAUCAUUUUUUGAGACUGUGAAUAUCAGCAAAACUAUCAACUUUCAGGAAAAUGGAAAGUCUCUCAGAGAUGAAGACUGAAUACAGUGGAGAGAGAACUUCUGGAUUCAAGGACAUUGAAAAUAAUAGCUACUGUCCACUUUCAGGUGAAGUUGAGCAUGGAUGAUAUGAUGUUUGUGAGCCUGAUCAUGUUGUACCCCUAUUAUAUGCUAUGCCACUGCAGCGAUCAAGCUUGUCUAAAACCACCCCUGCCUUCAUACCACUCAAGGAGAAGACAAAUAUAGUUGGUUAUUGGAAGAACCAACAGGAUUUUACAGGAUAAGUAGACAUUUCAUAGAGCUCUUGAAACCUGAAAAUGAUUGACAUUGCUGUGUGAAAGGAAAAUAUCUUGGGCCCCCAAAAUCACUAAGUUAAAGGGAAAAUUCAAGCUGGAAACUGCUUAGGGUAAACCUGCCUCCCAUUCUAUUAAAAGUCAUCCUUCUGCUCACUGAGAUAAAUGCAUGUCUAAUUGCCUCCUUUGAAAGGCUAAUCAGAAACUCAGAAGAAUGCAACCAUUUGUCUCUCACCAACCUGUGACCUGGACCCUCCCCGCUUUGAGUUGUCCCACUUUUGUUUUGAGUUGUCCCGCCUUUCCAGACUGAACCAUUGUUAUAUAUGUUGAUUGAUGUCUCCUGUCUCCCUAAAAUGUAUAAAACCAAGCUGUGCUCUGACUACUUUGAGCACAUGUUGUCAGGACCUCCUGAGGCUGUGUCACAGGCAUGCAUCCUCAACUUUGGCAAAAUAAACUUUCUAAAUUAACUGAGACCUGUCUCAAAUUUUGGGGGUUCACAUUUGGUAACCAUGGAGGGAUUCUGAGUGGAGAUGCCCCUGACUUCUGACAAAUCUCCUAUCGGUUCUUCGUACCAGCAUGAGCUAACUUUAUAGCUCAAACCAAUAGGACAAUUUGCUGAGGUCAGGGAGCAACCCUUCCAGAGAAUCCCUGAUCUCCAAAAAUUUGGUCAAGAUCUAAAGUUUAUUUUGCUGUAUACUCCUUUUGUUUUUCUUGCUUCCAACAAGGAAGGCAAGAUUUCCUGUUUCCAAGACAAUGGAAAGCAGGUAACUCCUUUAUGGAGUUUGAGCUCGCUCCCAGCUGGGAAGACGAGUUGGAGUAUUUUUCCUGCUUCUACAAUGGUAGAAAGCAGUCUUCAGCCUAAGAUCCAUCUCUGGGUAAGUAGCUGAAUUGUGGUUUUGUCUUGGCUAAAGUUCAACAACCAGCUUAUCAUUGGAGCACUCAGUGAUCAUAUUGUUGGGCUUUGUUGUUGUUGUUUGUUCCAGUCUUUCUCCCAUCAGAUUUCAUCAACUCUAUCUGACUUGGACAAAUCCAAGUGAGAAUUGCAAAUGAUGGGUAACAAGCCCUCUCUAAUUUGGCUAAAAUUCCUCAUAGCUGCAAAAUUAAACAAAGAGAGAAAACAAGAAAACCAUGUGUUUGGUUUCUGUGUUCGCUUCC
This 1912-nucleotide long non-coding RNA is filed under the name Homo sapiens (human). RNAcentral's name for it is "non-protein coding LINC01374:17". Lineage: Eukaryota; Metazoa; Chordata; Mammalia; Primates; Hominidae. The record is from RNAcentral.